This 628-nucleotide ribosomal RNA is filed under the name uncultured Dolichospermum sp. RNAcentral's name for it is "bacterial SSU rRNA". It matches the Rfam family "Bacterial small subunit ribosomal RNA", at positions 135 to 795 of the family's 1533-position model. The record is from RNAcentral. Lineage: Bacteria; Bacillati; Cyanobacteriota; Cyanophyceae; Nostocales; Aphanizomenonaceae.
GGUUCGGGACAACCACUGGAAACGGUGGCUAAUACCGAAUGUGCCGAGAGGUGAAAGGCUUGCUGCCUGAAGAAGAGCUUGCGUCUGAUUAGCUAGUUGGUGUGGUAAAGGCGCACCAAGGCGACGAUCAGUAGCUGGUCUGAGAGGAUGAUCAGCCACACUGGGACUGAGACACGGCCCAGACUCCUACGGGAGGCAGCAGUGGGGAAUUUUCCGCAAUGGGCGAAAGCCUGACGGAGCAAUACCGCGUGAGGGAGGAAGGCUCUUGGGUUGUAAACCUCUUUUCUCAGGGAAGAAAAAAAUGACGGUACCUGAGGAAUAAGCAUCGGCUAACUCCGUGCCAGCAGCCGCGGUAAUACGGAGGAUGCAAGCGUUAUCCGGAAUGAUUGGGCGUAAAGGGUCCGCAGGUGGCAUUGUUUGUCUGCUGUUAAAGAGUUUGGCUCAACCAAAUAAGAGCAGUGGAAACUACAAAGCUAGAGUAUGGUCGGGGCAGAGGGAAUUCCUGGUGUAGCGGUGAAAUGCGUAGAUAUCAGGAAGAACACCGGUGGCGAAGGCGCUCUGCUAGGCCAAAACUGACACUGAGGGACGAAAGCUAGGGGAGCGAAUGGGAUUAGAUACCCCAGUAGUC